AACUACACAAAAUCGUGUGGGUGAGAUCCUGCGUUCAGGUUCAAGCCGAGCGAAGCGAGACAGCAACGCGCCAGCGUUGACCCGAAGGGCGAAUCCGAAGGAUGAGUCAUCCCGCACGACCCACCA
RNAcentral lists this small RNA (126 nucleotides) under Yersinia enterocolitica. RNAcentral describes it as "RtT sRNA". It matches the Rfam family "RtT RNA". From Rfam's summary of the family: This family represents a bacterial cis-regulatory element known as RtT RNA. RNAcentral also lists the same sequence under 1 other name. The record is from RNAcentral. Lineage: Bacteria; Pseudomonadati; Pseudomonadota; Gammaproteobacteria; Enterobacterales; Yersiniaceae.